ACAGAUAGAACAAGAUCUGCUAACAAACCAACCUAAUCCUGAGCUUUCUGCCAUUGCGGCUCAUUUUCACUAUUGCCUGGGAUUUUAGGAAAUGAAUCUUUUUUUUUUCAUUUCAGUGUAAUGCAAAUGCCUUUUUGUACAUUCUACUAAGUAUUCCCCCCAUCUUAAAUUGCUUUACAUUGAGUGAUUGUCUAGUCACACACAUUCUCUCUCUCUCUCUCUCUCUCUCUCUGCUUUUUCUCUACAUUUAUUAGGAAGUAGGUCUUCGAUCUCCCCAAUCUCUCUCUCUCUCUCUCUUUACUCUUUCUCUACAUAUAUUACAGAUUGUUUUCACGCGGUCUAUCAACUUCCUUCUUUGUCUUCGAUUGUCUCAAGAGUUAAUUAAACAAAUUCAUACAUUUCUUUUGUUUUCUCUUCAGAUCCUAUUCUCCUUGAGUAUCUAAAAUGUUAUGCUUUCUCAUUGAUUCAGAUGUCGAUCACUACUGCUUUUGCCUUUGCUAGUUCGAUUUCUCAUUUGUAGCCUUGUAAGUUCUAUUGAAUUUGAGUAGAAAUGGAGUUUUGAUAUCAAUACAUGUUGGUCUACUGUUUUGCUAAGCUAAUUCUGAGGAAUUCUGUUGAAUCUCUUUGGAAUUUAUUGGGUUUUUGUUUUUAUUGCAUAAAUUCAAUCAAGGCACUACAUUGCACUUCUAGUUGGGGUUUUAAUGACGUUUAAUUAUCAUAAUAAGUAUAGAUGAAUCCAGUAAGGAGUUGUUUUGAAGUGGUUUAUAGUUCAGUUGCUUUUGACAUUCUUGGUAUGUUUGUAAUUUAGAUUUGAUCUGAAGCUAUUCAUGUGUGUUUGGAUUGAUUCACAUUCUCGUAAGGAAUGUAUUGAGGUUUGUUUGUUUUGAAGUGAUUUUAAUUCAAUUGGUGUUGAUUUAUGGACAAAUUGGUAAGCACAAAUUUGUUUUUUUUUUUGGGUCCCAAAAUUUGAUGGAGUUUUGCAGGAGGCUUUAUUCUUUUGACUGUGUUUUGGAGGCAGAUCUGAAGAUCUCACAUCAUCAGCAAAGCUGGCGGUGACACUAGCUUGGAGGUUUGCUCCCUACAAUGGCAGCAACCUUGCUAGUAUUGAUCUGGGUAUUUAUGAUGCUGACCAAUCUCCAAUUCUUCUCAGUGCCAUUUUGGUUUUUUCAUUUUUCUAAUUUUUGCUUUGAUCACAUUCAAGGCUGUUUAUCUUAUUUACCAUCUUUGAAUUUAAUUUUUUGUAAAAUUUUGCUUUCUAUACUCAUUAUGGUCUGGGAAUUGAGAGCUUUCUACUAGCCAUUAACUCUGUUUUCUUUUUCAAUUUUGUUAUAGGAGUUAGUAUUCUAGGGAAUGUAUAAUAAAUGUGUAUAUAUUACAUUUCUAUUUUUAUAAUUUUUUAAAAAUAUUUUUGUUCUUAUUAAAAUUUUGGAUUCUAAAUUGCAGGUGGAGUUGAAUGCUAUGUAGUGGCUAGUAAAUGAGAUUUAAUCAGAAGCAAAUCAUUUUCAUAGAUUGUUGGUUGAUGCCUUUCUGGUUAGUUCCUCGGCUCAAUUUAUCCAUCAAUUCAAUCUCAAACCCUUCAAAUGCCAAACUAAAAAGAUUGAGCAGCAGCAAUGGUGAAUUGAUUUAUCUAGGGUUUCGAGUGCGGUGUUAGUGUCUUUGAUCAUGUGGGACAAGCAGGUGGCGUUGGAUGUUGAUCGUUGGAAACAGUGAGUAGAAGCUCAACGAUGAAGAGAUGCAGAUCUGCUCUCUUCGAUCAGAUCUGUUCUCUCUCUCUCUCUCUCUCUGAUCUGCUAACAUGGUAAUAUCAGAUCUGCUUUGUCUCUCUCUAGUCCAUUAUUUUGCCUUUUUUUGGAAUCUCAUUUUGGCAUUUCUUGCUUUCUAACUCUUCUAAUAAUCAUUUUGGUGUAGUUCCCAUGUAAAUUGAUAAACUUACAUCUUGGUAUGUGCUCUGAGUUUUCUUCUUUUUCAAGCUGCUACACAUGGGUGGUCUUGUUAUUGAUUACUUGUGCAUUUGUUCACUAGGUGCCACUUGUACCAAGCACAUUUGGAAGCAGCAGGAGUAGGGGCUGUCGGGUUGUAACGGAGAGGGGUGGAGUUGGGUUGUUGCAGUGGUAGCUAGGAUGUGGAGGGAGGGGCUUGUUGAGUGGGGUUGGGAGGGGCUGGGAGUAGCAGGAGAGCGACAUGGGGGUUGUGGGGAGUGUGGUGAUGGUGGAGGGGCUAAGAAUGGUGGGAGAGGGCGGCAGUGGAGGUGCUAGAUACCAAGGGAGGCUUAUGCAGAGGUGGACGGACCUGUAGAGAGUGCUUGGGUUGUCAAUAAGAAAGGAAGAGGGCUGAGGCUUUACCAAUUAAGUUUGUUUGCACCUUUGAAAUAUUGAUAAUUUGUACCUUCAAAAAUCUUAUAACUAAAAAAACAUUGCCAUCAACAUAAAAGGUUUUGGUUUUUCUUUUAUUUAUUUUUCAUUUUUUGUUUUCAGAUACUUUAAAGAACUAUUAUAGUUUCAUGUUAAAUUUUUUAUGCACUCAGUAUAUGCAUUAUAAUUCUUAUACCUUGUGGAAUGACUCUUGUAUCUUAUAGAAAAUGUGGGUUUACAGAGUAAAUUUGGCCAUGUAUUUAGAAGGUCCCUUCCCUAGUUUCUUUUACUAGGGAAGGGGGGAAAAACCAGUCACACACCCUUUACCUAGUGAUCAGGGAUAGGUUCGUGUAAUGGGAGUUGUGAAUGUGUUUAUUACUCAAUCCAUUUCAUUGAACCUUUCUUCUUGCAGGUAUCAAAACUAGGAUAUGGCUGCAUGGGGCUUUCUGGAAUCUACAAUUCUCCUGUCUCUGAAGAGGAUGACACUGCAAUAAUAAAGUACGCAUAUAGUAGAGGGAUCACAUUCUUUGAUACCUCCGAUAUUUACGGUGUUGACCAUGCAAAUGAAAUAUUGGUGGGAAAGGUUAUUACAUAAGGACAUGUUUUUUAUUGCAAUUUUGAUAGUCCACCAUGCUUUCUUGGAGCAGAACAAAACUUGGAAUACAUUAAAAAUAAUUCUGCACCUGGAUUUUGACUCCUUAUUGUUUAUAAUAAUGAAUUUGUUCACUAGUUUUUAAUUUCUCACUUUUCUAAAUCUAUUAAGACAUGAUGUGAUUUGGUGUUGGAAAUUAGUAAAUAAUUGUAGUUUUUAAUUGUUUUAUUAACAAAACAAUUGAUGUGUUCUAAUUGAUGUUUUUUGGGAUGAUGUUGUGGAAUAUUUUGCUACAACAACCUGGUGAAGGAUGUGAUUCUACAAAGGUGUGCAACAGGGAAUCAUUUGGGCAGUACCUCCCACUAGUAUUGGCGACUGGGCUGAACAUUUGCUUCAUAAAGGUCCAUCUGCUUUCAAAGAAUACAUAGAGGAGUGUAAACAAUUGGGAUUUGAUAUGAUUGAGCUAAAUGUGGGAUCACUCGGAGUUCUUGAAGAAACACUCUUGAGAUUUAUCUGAUUGAGUAAUAGUGGUGGCCCGAAAGCCAAGCCUCAAUUUGCUGUCAAGUUUAAAAAGUCUGAUAUCCCCAUGAAAGGUGAUAGAGCAUUUGGAGCUUAUGUGGUCCCAGUGUCGCAAUCAUCUGGCAAUUACGUAAUUUAGAAAAGGCUUUUGGAGGAGAUGUUAGAGUUCGUGACCGCACUGCUCUCAUCCUGAAUAUAUUCAACCAGAGGGCAGCAACACAUGAAGCAGCUUUACAGGUUGCAUUAGCACAAAUGGAACAUCAGUUACCUCAACUUACAAAAAUGUGGAGUCACCUUGAGCGUCAAGCCGGAGGCAGGGUGAAAGGAAUGUGUGAGAAACAAAUUGAGGUGGACAAGCAUAUUUUACGUACGCAAGUAACUUAUGAUUAAAAUCAUAUGUUGCAGUUUGGUUAGACAAGGAAUGUAACUUAUAUGAACUCGGGAAAAAUUGGGAAACUUUUUUCCAAAGUUAAAGAAGUUCGAAAUUGAUGCUUCGAAGUGUUGUGUAUCAAUCAUAUUUGUACCUUUUUUUUUUUUGUUACAUUUAUUCUUUUCUUAGUAUUUUAAAUUUGAGAUGAUGAUAGAGUAUAUGAAUUUGGUUGUGAUUUUUGUAAUUUCAAUUUUGAUGUGUUUGGUUGAA
This is a non-coding RNA of Camellia sinensis, 4102 nucleotides long. The record is from RefSeq and is a predicted model, not a curated record. NCBI's taxonomy places the organism in Eukaryota, Viridiplantae, Streptophyta, Magnoliopsida, Ericales, Theaceae.